RNAcentral lists this unclassified non-coding RNA (305 nucleotides) under uncultured fungus. Its description in RNAcentral is "partial contains small subunit ribosomal RNA, internal transcribed spacer 1, and 5.8S ribosomal RNA". The stretch from base 1 to 73 matches the Rfam family "Eukaryotic small subunit ribosomal RNA", at positions 1759 to 1831 of the family's 1831-position model. Lineage: Eukaryota; Fungi. The record is from RNAcentral.
UCAAACUUGGUCAUUUAGAGGAAGUAAAAGUCGUAACAAGGUUUCCGUAGGUGAACCUGCGGAAGGAUCAUUAAUGAGGUUGGAGGGGGGUAGACUUUUGUCUACUUCUCUUUUUCUCUUCACUCUUGUGUAUGUUUCUUUAUCUCAGUUGCUUUGGUAGGCUUUCUUAGGAGAGCCUACCAAGGGAAAAUACCAAAAAAAUCUUUUUUUAUUUCUUCUUUAUCAGUCUGAAUUAUUUUAUUUUAAAUAAAAAUAAAACUUUCAACAAUGGAUCUCUUGGUUCUGGCAUCGAUGAAGAACGCAGC